Molecule: ribosomal RNA, 158 nt
Filed under: Chaetomium coarctatum
Lineage: Eukaryota; Fungi; Ascomycota; Sordariomycetes; Sordariales; Chaetomiaceae
Description: 5.8S ribosomal RNA
Rfam family: 5.8S ribosomal RNA (bases 1-125)
About the family: 5.8S ribosomal RNA (5.8S rRNA) is a component of the large subunit of the eukaryotic ribosome. It is transcribed by RNA polymerase I as part of the 45S precursor that also contains 18S and 28S rRNA. Functionally, it is thought that 5.8S rRNA may be involved in ribosome translocation.
Source: RNAcentral
GCAUCGAUGAAGAACGCAGCGAAAUGCGAUAAGUAAUGUGAAUUGCAGAAUUCAGUGAAUCAUCGAAUCUUUGAACGCACAUUGCGCCCGCCAGUAUUCUGGCGGGCAUGCCUGUUCGAGCGUCAUUUCAACCAUCAAGCCCCCGGCUUGUGUUGGGG